CACAUGCAAGUCGAGCGAGAAAGCUCUCUUCGGAGAGUGAGUAGAGCGGCGCACGGGUGAGUAACGCGUGGAUAAUCUGCCCUGAAGAUCGGGAUAACAGUUGGAAACGGCUGCUAAUACCGUAUAAUCUGCAUAUUUAACUUUAUGUGGGAAAGAUGGCCUCUAUUUAUAAGCUAUCACUUUUGGAUGAGUCCGCGUCUCAUUAGCUUGUUGGUGGGGUAAUGGCCUACCAAGGCAACGAUGAGUAGCUGGUCUGAGAGGAUGAUCAGCCACACUGGGACUGAAACACGGCCCAGACUCCUACGGGAGGCAGCAGUGGGGAAUAUUGCGCAAUGGGGGAAACCCUGACGCAGCGACGCCGCGUGUAGGAAGAAGGCCUUCGGGUCGUAAACUACUGUCAAGAGGGAAGAAACUGUUGGACAUUAAUACGGUCCUUCACUGACGGUACCUCUAGAGGAAGCACCGGCUAACUCCGUGCCAGCAGCCGCGGUAAUACGGAGGGUGCGAGCGUUAAUCGGAAUCACUGGGCGUAAAGCGUGCGUAGGCGGCGUAUCAAGUCAGGCGUGAAAGCCCUCGGCUCAACCGGGGAAUUGCGCUUGAAACUGGUAUGCUAGAGUCUCGGAGAGGUUGGCGGAAUUCCAGGUGUAGGAGUGAAAUCCGUAGAUAUCUGGAGGAACACCGGUGGCGAAGGCGGCCAACUGGACGAGUACUGACGCUGAGGUACGAAAGCGUGGGUAGCAAACAGGAUUAGAUACCCUGGUAGUCCACGCUGUAAACGAUGGAUAUUAGGUGUCGGGGUUUUACUUCGGUGCCGCAGUUAACGCGUUAAAUAUCCCGCCU
Molecule: ribosomal RNA, 840 nt
Filed under: bacterium enrichment culture clone SRB-2
Lineage: Bacteria
Description: bacterial SSU rRNA
Rfam family: Bacterial small subunit ribosomal RNA
Source: RNAcentral